This 420-nucleotide ribosomal RNA is filed under the name uncultured bacterium. RNAcentral's name for it is "bacterial SSU rRNA". It matches the Rfam family "Bacterial small subunit ribosomal RNA", at positions 355 to 774 of the family's 1533-position model. The record is from RNAcentral.
UAAGGAAUAUUGCUCAAUGGGAGAAAUCCUGAAGCAGCAACGCCGCGUGGAGGACGAAGGGUCUAUGACUUGUAAACUCCUGUAAAGAAGGAAAAAAUUCCCAUUUGAUGGGAGAUGAUGGUACUUCUGGAGUAAGCCCCGGCUAACUACGUGCCAGCAGCCGCGGUAAUACGUAGGGGGCAAGCGUUGUCCGGAUUUACUGGGUGUAAAGGGUGCUCAGGCGGAUUUGUAAGUCAGAGGUGAAAUCUUACAGCUUAACUGUGAAACUGCCUUUGAUACUGCAAGCCUAGAGUAUGGAAGAGNGUGAUGGAAUAUCUGGUGUAGCAGUGAAAUGCGUAGAUAUCAGAUAGAACACCAAUGGCGAAGGCAGUCACUUGGUCCAUUACUGACGCUAAAGCACGAAAGCGUGGGUAGCAAACA